This 1250-nucleotide ribosomal RNA is filed under the name Microbacterium paraoxydans. RNAcentral's name for it is "bacterial SSU rRNA". It matches the Rfam family "Bacterial small subunit ribosomal RNA", at positions 96 to 1356 of the family's 1533-position model. Lineage: Bacteria; Bacillati; Actinomycetota; Actinomycetes; Micrococcales; Microbacteriaceae. The record is from RNAcentral.
UGGCGAACGGGUGAGUAACACGUGAGCAACCUGCCCCUGACUCUGGGAUAAGCGCUGGAAACGGCGUCUAAUACUGGAUAUGUGACGUGACCGCAUGGUCUGCGUUUGGAAAGAUUUUUCGGUUGGGGAUGGGCUCGCGGCCUAUCAGCUUGUUGGUGAGGUAAUGGCUCACCAAGGCGUCGACGGGUAGCCGGCCUGAGAGGGUGACCGGCCACACUGGGACUGAGACACGGCCCAGACUCCUACGGGAGGCAGCAGUGGGGAAUAUUGCACAAUGGGCGCAAGCCUGAUGCAGCAACGCCGCGUGAGGGAUGACGGCCUUCGGGUUGUAAACCUCUUUUAGCAGGGAAGAAGCGAAAGUGACGGUACCUGCAGAAAAAGCGCCGGCUAACUACGUGCCAGCAGCCGCGGUAAUACGUAGGGCGCAAGCGUUAUCCGGAAUUAUUGGGCGUAAAGAGCUCGUAGGCGGUUUGUCGCGUCUGCUGUGAAAUCCCGAGGCUCAACCUCGGGCCUGCAGUGGGUACGGGCAGACUAGAGUGCGGUAGGGGAGAUUGGAAUUCCUGGUGUAGCGGUGGAAUGCGCAGAUAUCAGGAGGAACACCGAUGGCGAAGGCAGAUCUCUGGGCCGUAACUGACGCUGAGGAGCGAAAGGGUGGGGAGCAAACAGGCUUAGAUACCCUGGUAGUCCACCCCGUAAACGUUGGGAACUAGUUGUGGGGUCCAUUCCACGGAUUCCGUGACGCAGCUAACGCAUUAAGUUCCCCGCCUGGGGAGUACGGCCGCAAGGCUAAAACUCAAAGGAAUUGACGGGGACCCGCACAAGCGGCGGAGCAUGCGGAUUAAUUCGAUGCAACGCGAAGAACCUUACCAAGGCUUGACAUAUACAAGAACGGGCCAGAAAUGGUCAACUCUUUGGACACUCGUAAACAGGUGGUGGCAUGGUUGUCGUCAGCUCGUGUCGUGAGAUGUUGGGUUAAGUCCCGCAACGAGCGCAACCCUCGUUCUAUGUUGCCAGCACGUAAUGGUGGGAACUCAUGGGAUACUGCCGGGGUCAACUCGGAGGAAGGUGGGGAUGACGUCAAAUCAUCAUGCCCCUUAUGUCUUGGGCUUCACGCAUGCUACAAUGGCCGGUACAAAGGGCUGCAAUACCGUGAGGUGGAGCGAAUCCCAAAAAGCCGGUCCCAGUUCGGAUUGAGGUCUGCAACUCGACCUCAUGAAGUCGGAGUCGCUAGUAAUCGCAGAUCAGCAACG